UGGUAGUCCACGCCCUAAACGAUGCGAACUAGGUGUUGGGGAAGGAGACUUUCUUAGUACCGCAGCUAACGCGUGAAGUUCGCCGCCUGGGGAGUACGGUCGCAAGAUUAAAACUCAAAGGAAUUGACGGGGACCCGCACAAGCGGUGGAUGAUGUGGAUUAAUUCGAUGCAACGCGAAAAACCUUACCUACCCUUGACAUGUCAGGAAUCCUGCUGAGAGGUGGGAGUGCCCGAAAGGGAGCCUGAACACAGGUGCUGCAUGGCUGUCGUCAGCUCGUGUCGUGAGAUGUUGGGUUAAGUCCCGCAACGAGCGCAACCCUUGUCAUUAAUUGCCAUCAUUGAGUUGGGCACUUUAAUGAGACUGCCGGUGACAAACCGGAGGAAGGUGGGGAUGACGUCAAGUCCUCAUGGCCCUUAUGGGUAGGGCUUCACACGUCAUACAAUGGUCGGUACAGAGGGUUGCCAACCCGCGAGGGGGAGCCAAUCCCACAAAGCCGAUCGUAGUCCGGAUCGCAGUCUGCAACUCGACUGCGUGAAGUCGGAAUCGCUAGUAAUCGUGGAUCAGCAUGUCACGGUGAAUACGUUCCCGGGUCUUGUACACACCGCCCGUCACACCAUGGGAGUGGGUUCCACCAGAAGUAGGUAGUCUAACCGCAAGGGGGGCGCUUACCACGGUGGGAUUCAUGACUGGGGUGAAGU
Molecule: ribosomal RNA, 700 nt
Filed under: uncultured bacterium
Lineage: Bacteria
Description: bacterial SSU rRNA
Rfam family: Bacterial small subunit ribosomal RNA
Source: RNAcentral